UUGGUUGGGUGAGCGAUAUAUGCUCAGUUUAAAGAUUAAGCCAUGCAUGUCGAAUUCAUCUAUAGAGAAACUGCGAACGGCUCAUUAGAGCAGAUGUCAUUUAUUCGGAACGUCCUAUUGGAUAACUGCGGUAAUUCUGGAGCUAAUACAUGCAAUAAAACCUUGACGCUUGUAGCGGUGUAAUUAUUAGUGCAAAUCAAUCAUCUUCGGUUAGUGCACAGCGCCGGAUAGGUUGAGACGCGGGCUCGAAUCUCGCCUAAAAUGCGAUUUUUGCGAUAAACCUAGCAGCAUCAUUGCAACAUCUUCGGAUGUUGUUUGCUAGCUCCGAAUAACGCAGCACGUCGACAGGUAGCCCGGCGAUGUUCCGGGAAAGCGUCUGCCCUAUCAACCUGAAGGCAGUCUACUAGUCUACCGUGGUUAAAAGUAAGAGCACAAGAGUCCACCAACGGAUAAGGACCCUUAGAAACGGCUACGGCAUCCAAGGCAGCAGGCGAAAAAGUUAUCCAAUCUUGGGUAGAUGAGAUAGUGAGGCUCAAGCGAAGGGCAAGUCUGGUGCCAGCAGCCGCGAUUGCUCCUGCUCCACUAGUGUAAAUCGUCACUGCUUGAAGACCUCGUAGUUGGAUCUGAGUUAUAUGCAGUGGUACACCCUUGGUAUUAAUCGCUGUUGGCUAUUUGCCGGUUUUCUAGGCUUUCUAUUGAAGCUUCGUCUUUUUUAGUGGCUAGUGAGCUUUGAAGCUUCGGCUUUUUUGGUGGCGUGUGAGCUUACUCUGAGUAAAUUGCAGUGCUCCUUAAAAUAUCUGCAACGUAAAUUGCAGUGCUCUUCAAAAUAUCUGCAAAAACGGUCAAUUUAUAGACGAACAAACGAAUAAAGUGUAAUUGCA
Molecule: non-coding RNA, 881 nt
Filed under: Nippostrongylus brasiliensis
Lineage: Eukaryota; Metazoa; Nematoda; Chromadorea; Rhabditida; Heligmosomidae
Description: Eukaryotic small subunit ribosomal RNA
Rfam family: Eukaryotic small subunit ribosomal RNA
Source: Rfam by way of RNAcentral